AUCUCCCCCACGGCACGAACCCGGACAGGAAGAUCACGUCAGUGACUCAACCCACUCAAGUGACGCACCCCUCCUAGGGACGGCAUGGAAGAGCACCAGUAAGCCAGUGACUCAGCCCCCGUAACAGGGUCAGAGGCAAAGAAUCCCAGUGGAGAAAGAGGAGAACCGGCCAGGCAGAGACAGCAAGGACGGUUUGUCGCUCCAGUGCCUUUCACCCCCAUAUGCCUUGAAAUACGCAGAUCGACGGAUUACAAGUAAACCUACAUUGACAACAAGGUGUUCAGCUACCACCAGCGUAGCCAUGUCCUGGUGGAGGGCUUCCCCAAGGACAUCUCUGAGGUGUUCCCUGGUUUCCCUGACCACCUGGACGCUGCUGUGGUGUGUCCCAAGGGAGAUUGUCGCUGAGACAUAUUCUUCAAGGGGCAUGCCGUGUUCGACUUUGACACCUACACUAAGAAGGUAAAGGCCAGUGGACCCACCUCCCCAACUUCACCUCGGCCCUUCGCUGGUCGGAUCACUACUACUGUUUCCAUGGACACCAGUUCACCAAGUUCCACCCUUAGUCCGGAAGUGUGACAGGGAAGUACCCCAAAAGACUACUUCACGAAGUGCCCCAACUUCAGUGAGUCCAGGGGGGGGCAGCUGAACAGAGAUUUUAAACACAGCUGACAUCUUAAAGUUGAGCAGACAUUUUGUACGGUUGUUAUUAAAGACUCAGCAAGAAAAUAAAUAGCAGUAGAUCUCUUCAACAACUAAGAGCGUUGAAGCACGAAUCUAAACUAACGAACGUUAAGUCAGUCACACAAGAUAUCGCUGGAGAUGAUUGGCUGUGGACACCGUGGGACGAACAUUAGUCAGUCACACAAGAUAUCGCUGGAGAUGAUUGGCUGUGGACACCGUGGGACGAACAUUAGUCAGUCACACAAGAUAUCGCUGGAGAUGUUUGGCUGUGGACACCGUGGGACGAACAGUAGUCAGUCACACAAGAUAUCGCUGGAGAUGAUUGGCUGUGGACACCGUGGGACGAACAUUAGUCAGUCACACAAGAUAUCGCUGGAGAUGAUUGGCUGUGGACACCGUGGGACGAACA
Molecule: long non-coding RNA, 1090 nt
Organism: Oncorhynchus keta (chum salmon)
Lineage: Eukaryota; Metazoa; Chordata; Actinopteri; Salmoniformes; Salmonidae
Exons: 3
Source: RefSeq, a predicted model, not a curated record